This is a long non-coding RNA of Drosophila navojoa, 96 nucleotides long. Lineage: Eukaryota; Metazoa; Arthropoda; Insecta; Diptera; Drosophilidae. The record is from RefSeq and is a predicted model, not a curated record.
UCCCUUUCUCGGUCUCGGUCUACGCGUGGCACUUGUUGCGCUUCAACAACUGUUGCUGCUGCUGCUGCUUUUGCUGCUGUUUCUCCUGCUGCAACA